Molecule: ribosomal RNA, 385 nt
Filed under: Tardigrada environmental sample
Lineage: Eukaryota; Metazoa; Tardigrada
Description: bacterial SSU rRNA
Rfam family: Eukaryotic small subunit ribosomal RNA
Source: RNAcentral
UACUCGGAUAACUGUGGCAAUUCUAGAGCUAAUACGUGCAAGAAGGCUCGGACCUUUCGGGAAGAGCGCAUUUAUUAGACCAAAACCAAUCGGGCUUCGGCCUGAGCUUUGGUGACUCUGAAUAACUAAGUUGAUCGCACGGUCUUAGUACCGGCGACGCAUCUUUCAAGUGUCUGCCUUAUCAACUUUCGAUGGUAGUUUAUGUGCCUACCAUGGUUGUAACGGGUAACGGAGAAUAAGGGUUCGACUCCGGAGAGGGAGCCUGAGAAACGGCUACCACAUCCAAGGAAGGCAGCAGGCGCGCAAAUUACCCACUCUCAGCACGAGGAGGUAGUGACGAAAAAUAACGAGGGAGUGUGUUAGAGGGCCGCUAUCGGAAUGGGUA